This 484-nucleotide ribosomal RNA is filed under the name uncultured bacterium. RNAcentral describes it as "partial 16S ribosomal RNA". It matches the Rfam family "Bacterial small subunit ribosomal RNA", at positions 30 to 507 of the family's 1533-position model. The record is from RNAcentral.
AUUGAACGCUAGCGGGAUGCUUUACACAUGCAAGUCGAACGGCAGCGCGGACUUCGGUCUGGCGGCGGGUGGCGAACGGGUGAGUAAUGUAUCGGAACGUGCCCAGUAGCGGGGGAUAACUACGCGAAAGCGUAGCUAAUACCGCAUACGCCCUACGGGGGAAAGCAGGGGAUCGUAAGACCUUGCACUAUUGGAGCGGCCGAUAUCGGAUUAGCUAGUUGGUGAGGUAACGGCUCACCAAGGCGACGAUCCGUAGCUGGUUUGAGAGGACGACCAGCCACACUGGGACUGAGACACGGCCCAGACUCCUACGGGAGGCAGCAGUGGGCAAUUUUGGACAAUGGGGGCAACCCUGAUCCAGCCAUCCCGCGUGUGCGAUGAAGGCCUUCGGGUUGUAAAGCACUUUUGGCAGGAAAGAAACGUCGCGGGCUAAUACCCCGUGGAACUGACGGUACCUGCAGAAUAAGCACCGGCUAACUACGUG